AAAGAGAGGAGGGGGGGCUGGGCACGCUGAGGUUCAGACUUGGCUAUUUUUAAGGACUAUGUCACUCGAGUGGCCGGGGGAGGGUGGCUCAACCCGACUCACGUCCCCCUUUCUGCUUUCCUUUCCCAUGGUCUAUGGGCAGAAAAUCAGGUUCACCUUCAACCUUCUUAGAUCUUUUUGCUCAGGGUGGAGGUGGAGCAUCUAAUGACCCAGCAGAAGGAUCCUGAGACUAAAGCCUAUCCCCAAGAUAGCAGAAACGAAACUGUAGGCUGAACACGACGUACAUAGGAAUUGGGACUUGAAGGAAUUGGGACCUGAAUUUCCUCGAAGGAAAAACAAAACAAACAACAGAUGUUGGAUUUCACACAGAGACCAAGAGAGAUCUUCCCUCCACCCCCAAGGAAUUGGGCACCAGCAAGUGCCCUCUGGGACCCAUGUGAUUCGGUUUAAAUGGUGAUCAACAUUGGUCACCACUGUGUCAUCGGUUGCCUCUCCGAAUUCAGCGGGAAUCAAUUCACAAGCAAAGCAGUGAGAGAGAAAUGAGGUCUGGAAAGAAUCUGGAGCUUGGACAGUUUCCAGUGUACGAUAAGGGAGACAAGAAAACACUACGAAGUCCACCUUGGUCCUAUCGAAAGUACACCCCAGGUACAGCUGUGCCGAUAGAACUACAAAGGAUCUGAGCUAGAUGUGUAAAGUGACCCGCACUGAACGAAUUUGGUCCCCUCUCCUAACAACGGAGCCUGACACCACAGACACCACGUUCCUUUCCUCAGUGACUAUCAACCCUCAUCUCGAGAUCACCCUGAUCAAAGCAAAAACAUUGGAAGAGAACACCUGGACGCACCUCAUCUUAUUCAAGAAAAAAUAAAGAAGCAAAGAACCUGUACGGCCAAGUCUGGGUACCCAACCCCUAUGCACUCUUCCCCCAGCCCUGAACCUUCAGCUCCUGGGAUUCCAGGCUGAAGAGGCACGGUUUUGAAUUCUUUGUAGACACCCUAGAUCUAGCCUGGUACCUGGAGUCAGAUCUUGAGGUUUCACUAUAAAAGGAAGUAGCCCUUUCUAGUUGUUUGGCGUUUAAAGAAUUGUUUGAUGUUGCAAAAAAGAAUAGCUGCAAAAAUGAAGCUGUGCUUUCCUCACAGACCUGGGAAAAUGCUUCCCAGUAUUUCCAGUCAGUAGACCAGUUGGUGGCAUAUUUCACAGUCACUUCUAAGUUACAGGUCACUCUCCUAUUUUUUUUUUUAAAUAAAACUUGCCAAAUUCCUAGAAGCCCCAAAA
Long non-coding RNA from Rattus norvegicus (Norway rat), 1275 nucleotides. RefSeq lists it as uncharacterized. Lineage: Eukaryota; Metazoa; Chordata; Mammalia; Rodentia; Muridae. The record is from RefSeq and is a predicted model, not a curated record.